RNAcentral lists this ribosomal RNA (502 nucleotides) under uncultured bacterium. RNAcentral's name for it is "partial 16S ribosomal RNA". It matches the Rfam family "Bacterial small subunit ribosomal RNA", at positions 29 to 507 of the family's 1533-position model. The record is from RNAcentral.
AGCGAACGCUGGCGGCGUGCCUAACACAUGCCAGUCGAACGUGAAAGGGAGCAAUCCCAAGUAAAGUGGCGUACGGGUGAGUAACACGUAGGUAAUCUACCCCAGAAUCUGGAAUAACCGGCCGAAAGGCUGGCUAAUACUGGAUAGAGCGACGGAAUCCGUAAUUGGGUUUUUCGGGAUAGGGAGCCUGUAAAAAGGCCUUCGUUCUGGGAUGAGCCUGCGUCCCAUCAGCUAGUUGGUGAGGUAAAAGCUUACCAAGGCAAUGACGGGUAGCUGGUCUGAGAGGACGAUCAGCCACACUGGAACUGAAACACGGUCCAGACUCCUACGGGAGGCAGCAGUGGGGAAUCUUGCGCAAUGGACGAAAGUCUGACGCAGCAACGCCGCGUGAGUGAAGAAGGCCUUCGGGUUGUAAAGCUCUGUCGAGUGGGACGAAAAUGCUUGGAGUUCACAGCUCCAGGAACUGACGGUACCACUAAAGGAAGCACCGGCUAACUCCGUG